UUAAGUAGGGGGCGAUUUAAUCAAAGUAGAUAAAACAGGAAAAGUAUAGGUAGCUAGCUACAAUUCCUAGCAAAAAUAAGAAAUCUGAAGAUCAUAUUAUUAUUUUUUAUAUUUAGUUAUUGUUUGAAGAUGAAGGUGAUCGGCAUAAGAACAAAUUAGUUGAAACGUCCAGCUCAAAUUAAAGAAAAAUUCACACAACCCUAAGAUAAAGUAAACUCGUUGAUUGUGGUCUAUCACUUAUUUCUUCUUUAAUAUACUGCACUUCUUGUUGGAAAUACUUGCAGUUGAUAUAAUCUCAGGUAUAAUGCACUUAUGCCAUAUAUGGAUAAAUGGGAUUUAUUUCAUAGCAUAUUGGUGGCAAAUCUAUUGUUCUCCAAU
This 378-nucleotide long non-coding RNA is filed under the name Phoenix dactylifera (date palm). Its description in RNAcentral is "long non-coding RNA (PDAC_LNC001079)". The record is from RNAcentral. Lineage: Eukaryota; Viridiplantae; Streptophyta; Magnoliopsida; Arecales; Arecaceae.